RNAcentral lists this ribosomal RNA (1358 nucleotides) under uncultured bacterium. RNAcentral's name for it is "bacterial SSU rRNA". It matches the Rfam family "Bacterial small subunit ribosomal RNA", at positions 28 to 1394 of the family's 1533-position model. The record is from RNAcentral.
GACGAACGCUGGCGGCGUGCUUAACACAUGCAAGUCGAACGAUGAAGCCCUAGCUUGCUGGGGUGGAAGAGUGGCGAACGGGUGAGUAACACGUGAGUAACCUGCCCUUGACUCUGGGAUAAGCACUGGAAACGGUGUCUAAUACUGGAUAUGACCUGUCACCGCAUGGUGGUGGGUGGAAAGAUUUAUCGGUUUUGGAUGGACUCGCGGCCUAUCAGCUAGAUGGUGAGGUAAUGGCUCACCAUGGCGACGACGGGUAGCCGGCCUGAGAGGGUGACCGGCCACACUGGGACUGAGACACGGCCCAGACUCCUACGGGAGGCAGCAGUGGGGAAUAUUGCACAAUGGGCGCAAGCCUGAUGCAGCAACGCCGCGUGAGGGAUGACGGCCUUCGGGUUGUAAACCUCUUUUAGUAGGGAAGAAGCGAAAGUGACGGUACCUGCAGAAAAAGCGCCGGCUAACUACGUGCCAGCAGCCGCGGUAAUACGUAGGGUGCAAGCGUUGUCCGGAAUUAUUGGGCGUAAAGAGCUCGUAGGCGGCUUGUCGCGUCUGCUGUGAAAUCCCGGGGCUCAACCCCGGGCCUGCAGUGGGUACGGGCAGGCUAGAGUGCGGUAGGGGAGAUUGGAAUUCCUGGUGUAGCGGUGGAAUGCGCAGAUAUCAGGAGGAACACCGAUGGCGAAGGCAGAUCUCUGGGCCGCUACUGACGCUGAGGAGCGAAAGCAUGGGGGAGCGAACAGGAUUAGAUACCCUGGUAGUCCAUGCCGUAAACGUUGGGAACUAGAUGUAGGGCCUGUUCCACGGGUUCUGUGUCGUAGCUAACGCAUUAAGUUCCCCGCCUGGGGAGUACGGCCGCAAGGCUAAAACUCAAAGGAAUUGACGGGGGCCCGCACAAGCGGCGGAGCAUGCGGAUUAAUUCGAUGCAACGCGAAGAACCUUACCAAGGCUUGACAUAUACGAGAACGCGCCAGAAAUGGUGAACUCUUUGGACACUCGUAUACAGGUGGUGCAUGGUUGUCGUCAGCUCGUGUCGUGAGAUGUUCGGUUAAGUCCGGCAACGAGCGCAACCCUCGUCCUAUGUUGCCAGCACGUUAUGGUGGGAACUCAUGGGAUACUGCCGUGGUCAACACGGAGGAAGGUGGGGAUGACGUCAAAUCAUCAUGCCCCUUAUGUCUUGGGCUUCACGCAUGCUACAAUGGCCGAUACAAAGGGCUGCGAUACCGCGAGGUGGAGCGAAUCCCAAAAAGUCGGUCUCAGUUCGGAUUGGGGUCUGCAACUCGACCCCAUGAAGUCGGAGUCGCUAGUAAUCGCAGAUCAGCAACGCUGCGGUGAAUACGUUCCCGGGCCUUGUACACACCGCC